GCUUCGCCUCCCAUGCGCCGCUCGCCCGCUCCCAAUCCCAUCCAUGGCGUUGCUGCUUCGCCUCCCAUGCCCCACUCACGUUGUUGCCAUCCCCUGCCCUCCCAGGCGCGCGCCCCGUCUCCUGCCCUCCCUCCGCGCCGCUCCGCCUGCCCUCCCAAAGCGUCCGUUACUAGCCUGUUCGCUCCCCGUCUCCAUGGAGCAGCCGCUUAGUCAUCGAGUAAUUAACUUUUGCUGGUCACGCCACGUCCUGCCAUUUACCAUGCUCCGCCCCUUUUUCUUUUCCCAUUCCCACUCAUAAUUAGCCAUGAUCCUCCGCCGAUCUUCACCAUCCUAUCUCCACCCACCCCUCCCCCAUUUCUCUCUCUCUCUCUCUCUCUCUCAGGUUGAGGAUGAAUUUUCUAAUCGUGGUGUUCUUGGUCUCUCUCUUCGAAGGUUCAGGAUGGAUUUCCUUUUCCUGGUGUUCUUGUGUGGUUAGCAUGAAUUACUGUGGCUUUUAGUGAGCUAAGUUGUUUGAUUAUCCUUCAUUUGGCCAUGCAAGUCAUCUCUCUAUGGUCUGUCAUGGAACACAAAUUUGCCCAGUUCGUUCAGAUCAGCUUUGCUCUUCCUAUUAGUACUCUUGGUGACGUCUGCACAUUUGUUUGGCAAUGUACACAUUUUUUAUCUACUAUCAUAAAGAUGUGCGAAGGAAAAUCAGAUUCUUCUUGUGGCUCCUAUUGCUGAACCGAUUAUGGACUGCGGACAGACUUCAUUCUCGUGGAUGGCCCCAUGAUCUUUGCUGUUUCUGUGAUCAAACAAUUGAAUCCUGAUUGAAUCUGCUCCACACAUUAUGCUCUCUUGCACUUUUGCGAAACAGGUAUGGUUUGAUAUGAAGACAAAUUGCGAAAGCGCUUUCUCCAUUGCAUCUAGAUCAAAUUCUUUGAAAAGUGUAGAAAGCUGCUGAGGUUGGGAAAAAGCAAAGAAUCUUCACAUACUAUAACCGUGGCUGUUUAUAUUGUUUGGAAUAUUUGGAAGGAAGAAACAGACGCAUCUUCAACAAGGAAUCUCUUUCCGCUGCUGCUAUUGUAUCGUUGAUCAAGAGUGAUAUUUGCUUCUUCAGGGAAGCUGUUACGGAGGAGUAGAACCUCUUGCUUGAGAGCCUUGGGUUCCUUUUCUUUCUCUUUUCUUCUUCUCUUCGUUUCUCUCUAUCAUGUAGUACACUUUUCCCUCUACUUAAUGAAUGGCAGUGAAUCCUGCUUGCCUGUCAA
Long non-coding RNA from Brachypodium distachyon (stiff brome), 1244 nucleotides. RefSeq lists it as uncharacterized. The record is from RefSeq and is a predicted model, not a curated record. The transcript has 2 exons. NCBI's taxonomy places the organism in Eukaryota, Viridiplantae, Streptophyta, Magnoliopsida, Poales, Poaceae.